UCCCCGCUUAUGGGGUGACGUCGAUCAUCGGCCGGCGGAGGGACAUGGAGGAUGCUGUCGCUAUCCAUCCGGACUUCCUCCCAGGCGGUGGAUGUCAUUUCUUUGGUGUCUUCGAUGGUCAUGGUUGCUCACAUGUUGCUACAUCAUGCAAAAAGUGGAUGCAUGAGACGGUGGCAGAGGAGAUGGGAUCUGAUGCUCCGCCGAAGGCGGAGCAGACGGAGGUCUGGAAGGAGGUGAUGGAGAGG
RNAcentral lists this unclassified non-coding RNA (245 nucleotides) under Hevea brasiliensis (rubber tree). Lineage: Eukaryota; Viridiplantae; Streptophyta; Magnoliopsida; Malpighiales; Euphorbiaceae. The record is from RNAcentral.